RNAcentral lists this ribosomal RNA (330 nucleotides) under uncultured eukaryote. Its description in RNAcentral is "partial 18S ribosomal RNA". It matches the Rfam family "Eukaryotic small subunit ribosomal RNA", at positions 1470 to 1796 of the family's 1831-position model. The record is from RNAcentral.
CCCUUAGAUGUUCUGGGCUGCACGCGCGCUACACUGAUGCAUCCAACAAGUUUUUUCCUUGUUCGAGAGGACUAGGUAAUCUUUUGAGAAUGCAUCGUGAUGGGGAUAGAUUAUUGCAAUUAUUAAUCUUCAACGAGGAAUUCCUAGUAAGCGCGAGUCAUCAGCUCGUGCUGAUUACGUCCCUGCCCUUUGUACACACCGCCCGUCGCUCCUACCGAUUGAAUGGUCCGGUGAAGUGUUCGGAUCGCGCCGACGUGGGCGGUUCGCCGCCGGCGACGUCGCGAGAAGUCCACUGAACCUUAUCAUUUAGAGGAAGGAGAAGUCGUAACA